This 1088-nucleotide long non-coding RNA is filed under the name Struthio camelus australis. RNAcentral's name for it is "lncRNA (ENSSCUG00000015980.1)". The record is from RNAcentral. Lineage: Eukaryota; Metazoa; Chordata; Aves; Struthioniformes; Struthionidae.
AAAUAACAGCCAGGGAGCAUCCCGCACGGGGAGGAAAAAAAAAAAAAAAAGAAAGGCCUCAUCCUGCAAACCCUCCUAAGCGCAGGCCGCAGAUGUGCUCCUGGGAAACCCACGUCGGCAGGGCUCGGCUGGCGAGAGCAGGUCUAACCCUGCGUCCUCCUCCCCCCACCGACGCCCAAGACUCGCUGAACCCCAGGUAGCAGGAGAAAAAUGCCUUCUAGAACUGAAGUAUUUUACAGUUAUCAUAGUAAUCUGCUGUCCUGGGUACUUCAGUGUAUUGUAUUAGCAGCACAGCCAGACAUGAGAAAAAUAAGACUGAGCAAAAGUCUAUUCAAGUCAUUUUAAUGGUAAGAUGAGUGAAGAACUGUAGCAGAUUGUCUUUGCAAGUGAAGAGUCAUUUUGUUAAAUCUUUCCUGGAUGAAUUCCAACAGAGAAAUGGAUCAUGCGUUAGGAUAGGGAGAGAAGAAGCAGAGGAUUGUUUCUGAAUCGCUUCCAGGCCUGUGUUUUCUGUAAUCAUAUAAUGUUGUUGUUUUGUUUUUUUUAUCAUUUCCUUUGCAGUUAACAAAGCAAGCAGGAGAGUGACUGAGGACAAUUCCUCAGUAGGGGGCUGUGCGAGCUGUUGCAUUUUGUUUGUUUUAAGCCAUGUGGAUAAACUCUCAUUCCAUUGAGGGAAACGGGUAGUUUUCCUCUAUGAAAAGUACAUCUGAAUUUUGGAAGGCAGAAUAACAUGAUUUGUUUCUUCAUCAGGAGCAGUAUUUUUAGGAAGUGUAGCUCAGAAUGAAGCAUUUACUGUAUCUGUAACUCAUGCAAGUGUAUUAAAAUUGCAUUUUAGUAGUGGACAGGAAUAGAUAACACACACAAAAAGCCGGCUUUGAUAGUUUCUUGUCAACGUUUGCUUAAAUAUACCCAGACCUAUACUAAAGGAUAUUAAAACCACAAAGGCAAGUGGUCCAGAGUUAGGAGAGACCACACUUAUACCUGACGUUGCAGCUUACUUCUGUCUCUUAGGUAGAAGCAGACGUAUUGGUGGGGGGGGGGGGUUGCCUUUUUUUACAACCUAAUGUUUUUUUUCUUUGGGGCUUUUUUCU